UACGUAGGCAGCGAGCGUUGUUCGGAGUUACUGGGCGUAAAGAGUGCGUAGGCGGUUUUCUAAGUUUGGUGUGAAAUCUCCCGGCUCAACUGGGAGGGUGCGCCGAAGACUGGAAGGCUUGAGUAUGGGAGAGGUAAGCGGAAUUCCUGGUGGUAGCGGUGAAAUGCGUAGAUAUCAGGAGGAACACCUGCGGUGUAGACGGCUUACUGGACCAUAACUGACGCUGAGGCACGAAAGCGUGGGUAGCAAACAGG
This 254-nucleotide ribosomal RNA is filed under the name uncultured bacterium. Its description in RNAcentral is "partial 16S ribosomal RNA". It matches the Rfam family "Bacterial small subunit ribosomal RNA", at positions 524 to 776 of the family's 1533-position model. The record is from RNAcentral.